CCUACGCGUGGCAGCAGUGGGGAAUAUUGGGCCAUGGGCGCAAGCCUGACCCAGCAACGCCGCGUGAAGGAAGAAGGCUUUCGGGUUGUAAACUUCUUUUCUCAGGGACGGAGCACGUGACGGUACCUGAGGAAUAAGCCACGGCUAACUACGUGCCAGCAGCCGCGGUAAUACGUAGGUGGCAAGCGUUAUCCGGAUUUAAUGGGUGUACAGGGCGGGUAGGCGGGACUGCAAGUCAGAUGUGAAAACCACGGGCUCAACCUGUGGCCUGCAUGUGAUACUGUAGUUCUUGAGUACUGGAGAGGCAGACGGAAUUCCUGGUGUAGCGGUGAAAUGCGUAGAUAUUAGGCGGAACACCAGUGGCGAAGGCGGUCUGCUGGACAGCAACUGACGCUGAGGCGCGAAAGCGUGGGGAGCAAACAGGAUUAGAUACCCUAGUAGUC
This 443-nucleotide ribosomal RNA is filed under the name uncultured bacterium. RNAcentral describes it as "partial 16S ribosomal RNA". It matches the Rfam family "Bacterial small subunit ribosomal RNA", at positions 338 to 795 of the family's 1533-position model. The record is from RNAcentral.